Molecule: long non-coding RNA, 417 nt
Filed under: Androctonus crassicauda
Lineage: Eukaryota; Metazoa; Arthropoda; Arachnida; Scorpiones; Buthidae
Source: RNAcentral
UUGCUAAAUUAAUACUUUAUAUUUCAUGGUUAUGUUAUCAAAUAUGAAAUUAAAUCUAUAAUCGCUUAAAAAUUUUAAUUUUUGUACAACGAAUGACGUCAUCAGUGACGUUUUAGUAUUUAGCAGUAAUGGCGGAUAAUACGAUUGUUUAUAAGCGAGGAGAAACACCGUCCAUUCAAGUUAGAAAUUCUGUUUUAAAUGCAUACAAGUGUUUUGGAAGGCGGAAAUCCGUGAGAAGUAACAUUUUCAACGAAACUUCACUCGAUAUUGGUAUUUCUGUAUCGACAAUUAAAAGAAUUUGUAGCCGAAGGAAGCAAAACAGCAGACGAUGACCUGUAAACGGAAAAAAGCUCCGGUUAAAUUGUCGACACCUGGAAAGAAAAGGCAUUUUAUUAUUUAUAAAAAAUUUGUCUUGGA